ACCGGCAGCCCGAGUGGUGAUCACUAUUAUUGGGUCUAAAGGGUCCGUAGCCGGUUUAAUCAGUCUUCUGGGAAAUCUAAUCGCUUAACUAUUAGGCUUCCAGGGGAUACUGUUAGACUUGGGACCGGGAGAGGUAAGAGGUACUGCAGGGGUAGGAGUGAAAUCUUGUAAUCCCUGUGAGACCACCAGUGGCGAAGGCGUCUUACCAGAACGGGUCCGACGGUGAGGGACGAAAGCUGGGGGCACGAACCGGAUUAGAUACCCGGGUAGUCCCAGCUGUAAACGAUGCUCGUUAGGUGUCAGGAACGGUGCGACUGUUUCUGGUGCCGAAGGGAAGCCGUGAAACGAGCCACCUGGGAAGUACGGCCGCAAGACUGAAACUUAAAGGAAUUGGCGGGGGAGCACUACAACGGGUGGAGCCUGCGGUUUAAUUGGACUCAACGCCGGAAAACUCACCGGGGGCGACAGCAAUAUGUAGGUCAGGUUAAAGGUCUUACCUGAAUCGCUGAGAGGAGGUGCAUGGCCGUCGUCAGUUCGUACUGUGAAGUAUCCUGUUAAGUCAGGCAACGAGCAAGACCCGUGCCCACUGUUACCAGCAUAUCCUUUAUGGAUGAUGGGGACUCUGUGGGGACCGCUGCUGCUAAAGCAGAGGAAGGUGCGGUCUACGGUAGGUCAGUAUGCCCCGAAUCUCCCGGGCUACACGCGGGCUACAAUGGUUGGGACAAUGGGUAUCUACUCCGAAAGGAGUUGGCAAUCUCUUAAACCCAAUCGUAGUUCGAAUUGAGGGCUGUAACUCGCCCUCAUGAAGCUGGAAUCCGUAGUAAUCGCGUUUCAACAUAGG
Molecule: ribosomal RNA, 841 nt
Filed under: uncultured archaeon
Lineage: Archaea
Description: bacterial SSU rRNA
Rfam family: Archaeal small subunit ribosomal RNA
Source: RNAcentral